Molecule: ribosomal RNA, 1368 nt
Filed under: uncultured bacterium
Lineage: Bacteria
Description: bacterial SSU rRNA
Rfam family: Bacterial small subunit ribosomal RNA
Source: RNAcentral
GAGUUUGAUCCUGGCUCAGGACGAACGCUGGCGGCGCGCCUAACACAUGCAAGUCGAACGAGCGAGAGAGAGCUUGCUUUCUCAAGCGAGUGGCGAACGGGUGAGUAACGCGUGAGGAACCUGCCUCAAAGAGGGGGACAACAGUUGGAAACGACUGCUAAUACCGCAUAAGCCCACAGCUCGGCAUCGAGCAGAGGGAAAAGGAGCAAUCCGCUUUGAGAUGGCCUCGCGUCCGAUUAGCUAGUUGGUGAGGUAAUGGCCCACCAAGGCGACGAUCGGUAGCCGGACUGAGAGGUUGAACGGCCACAUUGGGACUGAGACACGGCCCAGACUCCUACGGGAGGCAGCAGUGGGGAAUAUUGCACAAUGGGGGAAACCCUGAUGCAGCGACGCCGCGUGGAGGAAGAAGGUCUUCGGAUUGUAAACUCCUGUUGUUGAGGAAGAUAAUGACGGUACUCAACAAGGAAGUGACGGCUAACUACGUGCCAGCAGCCGCGGUAAAACGUAGGUCACAAGCGUUGUCCGGAAUUACUGGGUGUAAAGGGAGCGCAGGCGGGAAGACAAGUUGGAAGUGAAAUCUAUGGGCUCAACCCAUAAACUGCUUUCAAAACUGUUUUUCUUGAGUAGUGCAGAGGUAGGCGGAAUUCCCGGUGUAGCGGUGGAACGCGUAGAUAUCGGGAGGAACACCAGUGGCGAAGGCGGCCUACUGGGCACCAACUGACGCUGAGGCUCGAAAGUGUGGGUAGCAAACAGGAUUAGAUACCCUGGUAGUCCACACCGUAAACGAUGAUUACUAGGUGUUGGAGGAUUGACCCCUUCAGUGCCGCAGUUAACACAAUAAGUAAUCCACCUGGGGAGUACGACCGCAAGGUUGAAACUCAAAGGAAUUGACGGGGGCCCGCACAAGCAGUGGAGUAUGUGGUUUAAUUCGACGCAACGCGAAGAACCUUACCAAGUCUUGACAUCCUGCGACGCACAUAGAAAUAUGUGUUUCCUUCGGGACGCAGAGACAGGUGGUGCAUGGUUGUCGUCAGCUCGUGUUGUGAGAUGUUGGGUUAAGUCCCGCAACGAGCGCAACCCUUACUGUCAGUUACUACGCAAGAGGACUCUGGCAGGACUGCCGUUGACAAAACGGAGGAAGGUGGGGAUGACGUCAAAUCAUCAUGCCCUUUAUGACUUGGGCUACACACGUACUACAAUGGCGUUAAACAAAGAGAAGCAAGACCGCGAGGUGGAGCAAAACUCAGAAACAACGUCCCAGUUCGGACUGCAGGCUGCAACUCGCCUGCACGAAGUCGGAAUUGCUAGUAAUCGUGGAUCAGCAUGCCACGGUGAAUACGUUCCCGGGCCUUGUACACACCGCCCGUC